GUGGUGAACUCCACAUACGCAUCCUUUGCUGAGGAUACGGUUAACGGAGCGAAAGCGACGUUCAACCGCAAAAGAAGCAGAGGGGGCUUAGUGGUGGGGUGACUGCGUACCUUUUGUAUAAUGGGUCAGCGACUUAUAUUCUGUAGCAAGGUUAACCGUAUAGGGGAGCCGGAGGGAAACCGAGUCUUAACCGGGCGUUAAGUUGCAGGGUAUAGACCCGAAACCCGGUGAUCUAGCCAUGGGCAGGUUGAAGGUUGGGUAACACUAACUGGAGGACCGAACCGACUAAUGUUGAAAAAUUAGCGGAUGACCUGUGGCUGGGGGUGAAAGGCCAAUCAAACCGGGAGAUAGCUGGUUCUCCCCGAAAGCUAUUUAGGUAGCGCCUCGUGAAUUCAUCUCCGGGGGUAGAGCACUGUUUCGGCUAGGGGGCCAUCCCGGCUUACCAACCCGAUGCAAACUGCGAAUACCGGAGAAUGUUAUCACGGGAGACACACGGCGGGUGCUAACGUCCGUCGUGAAGAGGGAAACAACCCAGACCGCCAGCUAAGGUCCCAAAGUCAUGGUUAAGUGGGAAACGAUGUGGGAAGGCCCAGACAGCCAGGAUGUUGGCUUAGAAGCAGCCAUCAUUUAAAGAAAGCGUAAUAGCUCACUGGUCGAGUCGGCCUGCGCGGAAGAUGUAACGGGGCUAAACCAUGCACCGAAGCUGCGGCAGCGAACGUAUCACUUAAAGCGAUUCAGCGGGUUACGAUUGACGGAGCGAAGCGACGUCAAAGCGUAUACAAAGUCGAGUCGGUUUAAGGAUACGUUCGUUGGGUAGGGGAGCGUUCUGUAAGCCCGUGAAGGUGGCCUGUGAGGGUUGCUGGAGGUAUCAGAAGUGCGAAUGCUGACAUAAGUAACGAUAAAGCGGGUGAAAAGCCCGCUCGCCGGAAGACCAAGGGUUCCUGUCCAACGUUAAUC
RNAcentral lists this ribosomal RNA (957 nucleotides) under Salmonella enterica subsp. enterica serovar Paratyphi B var. L(+) tartrate +. RNAcentral's name for it is "partial 23S ribosomal RNA". It matches the Rfam family "Bacterial large subunit ribosomal RNA", at positions 1 to 1370 of the family's 2925-position model. Lineage: Bacteria; Pseudomonadati; Pseudomonadota; Gammaproteobacteria; Enterobacterales; Enterobacteriaceae. The record is from RNAcentral.